RNAcentral lists this ribosomal RNA (444 nucleotides) under Triticum aestivum (bread wheat). RNAcentral's name for it is "partial small subunit ribosomal RNA". Lineage: Eukaryota; Viridiplantae; Streptophyta; Magnoliopsida; Poales; Poaceae. The record is from RNAcentral.
AUGGAAUUGAUUAGUUCUGUUUUCUCAGCUAUUCCUGUUUAUUAUAUGGCUAACAUUUUGUUCACUAAGAAGUUUCUUUCUAAGCUCACUGCUGUCAUUAGGAAUUUUUGGUGGACAGGUGUCAGGGAAAAUGAAUCAAGCAGGAGUCUUUGUCUUCGAGCAUGGAAAGAUAUUUGCAAUUCUAAAGAAGAAGGUGGCCUAGGUAUAAGGAAUUUGAAAGCGAUUAAUGAAAGUCUUGUUCUUGCGGCUGCUUGGAGAAUUGCUAAAUCCCCUUCCUCUCAAUUAUAUUUGGUCCUUCAGGCUAAAUAUUUCCAUGAAUCUUCUAUUUGGAUAGCUACUCCUUCCUCUCCUAAAUCUGCUUUUUGGACCUCUGUUCUGAAAAUGAUGCCUAAGUUAAAAGCUCAUUCUUUUUAUCAAUUGACUCAAGGUAAUAUCUCAAUAUAG